GGGGGCGGGGGGCGAGGGAAGCGGGCAGCGCCACGCCCCCUCCCGCUGCGCCCAGGCCGCCGGCCCUCGCGCCGCAUUCGGCGCCACGCGCGGCCCCGCCCCGCCUCGCGCGUCACGCCCUCUGCCGGGCCCCGCCCGCCGGCUGGCGCGAGGCGGCGGGGGGAGGGGUUGGCGCGCUGCGGGGAAGGGACCGUUACGUCUCCAUGGCGGCCGGCGGGACGGCUCUCUGCUCCUACUCUGCCGGCCGCCGGGCCCGCCGCCUGCGGCCGAACCCGCCUCGAGGUCGGCAGCGUUCGAGGGGAGAAGUGCGUUUAGAGAGCACACAUGGGGCUUACCCAGCUGCAGCAGCAGAAGAGAGCCCAGCCCCAGCACCCACUGAGCAGCAGAGGAUCCUGCCCAUCCUCCCAAAUUUCCAGUUCAGAACAUCCCUCACAGGGGCGCUUCUGCAGCAGGUGCAUGCACGAUGCUGCCCUGCGGUCUCCGUGAACCAGCAGCAUCCACUGCCUCUCAGGAUAUGGGGUGGGUUACAUCACCCAUCCCAGGCAGCAGGCUGUGCUGGAGGCCUUGGGCAGGCCCAGCACCAACUCAGCAUCCUGAGCUUAAAAGUUGCUCCGAAGAUGCUGUUGGUUCUUGAGAAGCUUCCAGAUGCUACCUCCCAGCUUGUACUUUCACUCUAAUCAUCCUGCUGUUGUUUGGUGACUUUUUUCUCCAUGCACAACUGGAGGUUCUUGUAGAGCCCAUUCACACAAACACAAAUUUUGUGACAAAGUAUCGUAGAACAGAUUCCUAUAUUUUACUUUCAUGUUUGGGAAUUCCCACUGCUGUUCUGAGUGAGUUACCUCACUUUUGGGGGUAUUAAGCAUGUGCAAAGGCAGCUGAAACAAUUAAAAGUUUCUUAAUUAUUCUGAAAAUCUGUUCCUUUCUUUCUUAUCCCUGCUAGUCUGUUUCUGUUUUAGUGGUAACACACAACUUUGUGUUACUUGUCACUGCCAUAGCAGAUUGCCGAAUUGUCCUUUACACAAAUCCAGAGUUUGAUUUACAAUUUGUGGUUGUAACGCAGGCUCAAACUCAAAUGGUGAGGUACACAUCAUCUUUUUAGAUCUUUUGGCCCCAGCCUUCUUGGGUUCCUUGAAACAUACAAUUGUUGUUUAACACAGAGGUUAAGAGCUUAAGAAUGGUUUAAUAGUCAUAUCUGAAAUAAAGAUAAAUCAAGUUGUCA
RNAcentral lists this long non-coding RNA (1219 nucleotides) under Numida meleagris (helmeted guineafowl). Its description in RNAcentral is "lncRNA (ENSNMEG00000010057.1)". Lineage: Eukaryota; Metazoa; Chordata; Aves; Galliformes; Numididae. The record is from RNAcentral.